This 878-nucleotide long non-coding RNA is filed under the name Physcomitrium patens. RNAcentral's name for it is "long non-coding RNA (PPAT_LNC012920)". Lineage: Eukaryota; Viridiplantae; Streptophyta; Bryopsida; Funariales; Funariaceae. The record is from RNAcentral.
ACCAUAAUCUUGCUUCAAACACUACUGAAAUCGUCUUCCUUUGUCAAUUUUUUCACAGGUUUGGUAAUUAAUUCUUAACAUUCAAAGCUAUUAUCACUCCCCGACAACGGUGCCAAAAUGUGAUUGCUCGUUUUACUUAUUCCAAAUUAAUCUAAUGAGAAUAAAUCCGUAUAAGGGGAUUCGAACACGGAAAAUGACUAGUUGCUUAAGCAUUCAUGUUAAGGUCACACAAUCAAUUACCUCCUAAAUGUAUCAUCUCUAUUUCCAAUAUCUUAACAUAUAAGAAAACUAUAAUAUCCUCCUUCAUCUUAUCGGUCUCUUCCUUACAGCAAUUCAGUCAUACCAAUAACUUCUAUUUCCACCAAUAUAUUCACCCUCAUAAUCUCUAAUUGUAAUACUGUGCCGUGAUAGCUUUCAGUACACAAUUACCCUCAUUCUAAUCAAUGGAAUUCUUCACACAAAACUGCCAUUCACAUUACAGUGUUUCACACAAACACAAACUCAUUCUCUCUACUGAACUAUAAUCAGAUUUUAGCAUUCAAUCUUUCUUCUUCUCAAAUAAUACCAAUCAUAUUUCCAUUCCAUAAUUCACUUCACAAUAUUCAGAAACUCUCAAUCCGCUUAUUCAAAGAAAAUAACAAACAAAAGAAAAGAAGUAGCACCAAGCUUACCCUGGCUCACACUAUCACAGCGAUGGCCCUCGGCUCAUGACUCUCACAGUGUGGCACUCUAAUUAACUUCUACAACUCCUACAUACUUUUUCUUGAUUCUUCAAAUUGUAAUCGUAAUUCUAUAAUUAGUUGUUUUUAAUAACUAAAUCACUCAUCUGUCCUCUUGAAUUUCCUAUUAUAUGGACUAUUAGUAUAUUUUACCAAUAU